UCCUAAUCGUCCUGAGUUGGCAAAGUGUCAGCUGAUGUUGUACCAUGACUUACUUCCUUUUCUCCAGACAGUUUACUAAUACUAAUGUUUCAAUUACAAAUUUUAGACUGCUAUAUGCAGUUACUUUUCAAUCUCGACAUACUGCCGCUGAUUCUCGUAGCUGUGGGCCACACCACUGUCUGCAAUUUCGCUGUUGUGGUGUGCAGAAGUUGACAAGUUAUAUGCACCCUGUACUGUUAACUGCUCUCACGUCUUCUGUACAUUUAUAUGAAGAGCUCUUUAUGGUAAUAAUAUACAGUCUUACUUAUAGAAAAAGUUAAUGACCAUGAUAAGUAGCAUGAUAAAGAGAUUUGAUCGAAAGUGCUAUUGAUUUGAACUGUUUUUAUUUUUGCUGUUGUUAUUUCAAAGCGACAUUUUCCAUUUUACAACUGAGGAACUGUAAUAUUUGAAAUUUGGAAAUUUGUGGUAAGUUCUACGAAACCAAGCUGCAGAGGUCAUCAGUCCCUGGGCUUACACACUACUUAAUCUAAUUUUAGGUAACUUACACUAAGGACAACACACACACCCAUGCCCAAGGGAGGACUCAGGACUCGAACCUCCAACAGGGAGGGAGCCGCACGAACCGUUGCGAUGCGCCCUCGACCGCAUGGCUACCCCUCACAGCAGUAUUUGAAAAGUAUACUCUGUUGAUGGAAGGAACUGAACGUCUAUAAAAUGGCAACUCCUCAAGAGAAGGCACAAUGUGUGUCUUGGUUUAGUCAGACAAAAUCAGAUGUUCAGACUCAACGAAACUUCAGAACGAAGUAUGGAAGAGGUCCACCAUCGCGCCCUUCAAUCCGUGCAUGGCACAAAAAAUUUAUGGAGAGAGGGACAGUGUUGGAUAAAGGGAGGAGUAGAAGACCAAGAACAUCUGAGGAAAACAUCGAUCGCGUUUUAAACGUCUUCACUCGUUCACCUACGAAGUCCAUCCGCACUGCUGGCAGACGGUUGCAACUACCACGUUCAACUGUGUAUAAGGUCCUCCACAGGAACUUACUAUUGUAUGCUUACAAAGUGCAACUGUUGCAGACACUUGAGCAAAAUGACAAGCCAAAACGGACAGAGUUUGCACUCAACAUGCUAGUACGCCCUUCGGCGCAUGAAGCAUUUCUCAAUUGAGUUUGUUUCAGUAACAAGGCAACUUUUCAAGUUUCUGGGUCAUUAAACAGGCACAGUUUGAGAAUCUGGGGAUCUGAACACCACCAUGUGACUAGGGAGCUUCACCAGGAUAGUUCAAAAGUGAGCUUGUGGUGUGGAAUCAUGUAAAACCGAAUAAUUGGUCCAUUUUUCUUCAACGAGUCAACAAUUACUGCAGAUGUUUACUCGAACUUCUGACUGAAUAUGUAGCACCACAACUGAUUGACUUACAACCAACUGUCAUUUUCCUGCAAGAUGGUGCACCACCACAUUGGGAACUGCAUGUUCAUCGGUUCCUCAGUGAAACGUUUCCAGGCAGAUGGAUUGCGAGGAAUGGACCAAUUCCUUGGCCAUCGCAUUUGCCAGAUAUCAUUCCCUUGGACUUUUUUUUAUGGGAGUAUGUAAAAGCUAUCGUGUAUCAAACACAGAUACGGGACAUUGCUGACUUGAAGCAAAGGAUCCGUAAUGCCAUUGCCACCAUUGAUUACGCUAUGCUACAAUGAACAUGGCAAGAAAUCGAGUACUUUCUUGAUGUGCUUCAUGCAACUAAAGGCGCCCAUAUAGAGGUCUAUUAAACACUGUCAAAAAAAGCUUUUAUAAACACUGAUUACAGUAAAAGAAAUGUUGUUGAAAUAUUUCAAAAACUGCCAUUGUAAUAAAAUUUUGAAGUUUUAAA
Schistocerca serialis cubense is the source of this 1852-nucleotide long non-coding RNA. RefSeq lists it as uncharacterized. The transcript is spliced from 2 exons. Lineage: Eukaryota; Metazoa; Arthropoda; Insecta; Orthoptera; Acrididae. The record is from RefSeq and is a predicted model, not a curated record.